GAUCUUUUUAAAUUUUAUACAGAAUGAAACCAAUCGCAGAAAUUAUCAUGUCAAAAUUUACUAUUAGUUUCUCUUAUAAGUGUAGUUUUGUCUAAUAAGCCAAACAAUAGAUUAUAUGAAUAGACUCAUAACAAGAGUAAUUACAGGAACUAAUAAUAAGAGAAUAAAUAAAUCGAAAUGAACCUGUCAAAAUUUCUAAAACCAAAACUAAAAAGCAUCAGCUCCUUCAAUUUUUCAGUUUGGAUCAAAUAAUGUUCAAUCUCUAGUCCUGCAGGCAUACUGCCAAUCUGGCUAAUCAUAAUCUCAAAAUUCUGGCUACAACAUUGACAUUCAUUGUCCAAGCCAGAAAGACUCACCAAAUCAACAGUCAAAAUGCAGCAGAAAAACUUCCGCUGAAAUGCUCACGACACCAAAGCUCUCAAAAACCCAUAUCAAUCCAGAACAUUUCACAAAGGUAAAAAUUAUCAUUCGUUGCUCAAAAAUUUCCGUCAAAUCUAGUUUAUUGCAGCAGUGCUAGUAUAACAAAUGGUAAAAAAAAAACAGAGCUCUAUGGGCCUACCCAACUGACUGAUCCAUCCCUUAAGAUUUCCCAAGCAAUUGAUGUUCAGAACCUUUAGGAAAAUAAAAUAGACAUUGAAGUCCAUUACUCUAUAGCCACAUGAU
This 663-nucleotide unclassified non-coding RNA is filed under the name Hevea brasiliensis (rubber tree). Lineage: Eukaryota; Viridiplantae; Streptophyta; Magnoliopsida; Malpighiales; Euphorbiaceae. The record is from RNAcentral.